GAUGAACGCUGGCGGCGUGCCUAAUACAUGCCAGUCGAGCGAACAGACGAGGAGCUUGCUCCUCUGACGUUAGCGGCGGACGGGUGAGUAACACGUGGAUAACCUACCUAUAAGACUGGGAUAACUUCGGGAAACCGGAGCUAAUACCGGAUAAUAUAUUCAACCGCAUGGUUCAAUAGUGAAAGACGGUUUUGCUGUCACUUAUAGAUGGAUCCGCGCCGCAUUAGCUAGUUGGUAAGGUAACGGCUUACCAAGGCAACGAUGCGUAGCCGACCUGAGAGGGUGAUCGGCCACACUGGAACUGAGACACGGUCCAGACUCCUACGGGAGGCAGCAGUAGGGAAUCUUCCGCAAUGGGCGAAAGCCUGACGGAGCAACGCCGCGUGAGUGAUGAAGGUCUUCGGAUCGUAAAACUCUGUUAUUAGGGAAGAACAAAUGUGUAAGUAACUAUGCACGUCUUGACGGUACCUAAUCAGAAAGCCACGGCUAACUACGUG
Molecule: ribosomal RNA, 497 nt
Filed under: uncultured bacterium
Lineage: Bacteria
Description: partial 16S ribosomal RNA
Rfam family: Bacterial small subunit ribosomal RNA
Source: RNAcentral